UAAUUCCAUAAAACAAAACAAAUAACUCAUGUUCAUCAUCCAUACAUAAUAAUUAAUAGACCACAAAAUAAAACAUAAAUUAUCUAACUCUCAAUCUUCUUCAAGCAUCUAUGUCUUCAUUAUUAUUGUUAUUAUUUGAUGUGUUUCUCUUUAAAAAAACAGAAGAAAGAAUUGUCACCUCACCACCAAAUCCAACUCUUCUACUGCUGUGGAAGGAGAUAAAAAAAGAAAAUAGAGAACAUAAAUAAGUGCAUUUGAAAACAGAGAAAAAAAAAAUUGCAAAGAGACUUACCUUGUGCAAAACCAGAAGAAGGGGAGGAGAAG
This 324-nucleotide long non-coding RNA is filed under the name Prunus persica (peach). RNAcentral describes it as "long non-coding RNA (PPER_LNC001446)". The record is from RNAcentral. Lineage: Eukaryota; Viridiplantae; Streptophyta; Magnoliopsida; Rosales; Rosaceae.